This 1315-nucleotide long non-coding RNA is filed under the name Numida meleagris (helmeted guineafowl). Its description in RNAcentral is "lncRNA (ENSNMEG00000019470.1)". The record is from RNAcentral. Lineage: Eukaryota; Metazoa; Chordata; Aves; Galliformes; Numididae.
AAGGGCUUUUAUCAGAGUUUGGGCAAGGGAGAAAGCUGAAGGGUGGUUCCAGUUUAAAUAGACAGAAAGGAUAUUGAUUGAGGUGGCCUUUGUCCGUUGGGCUGUCUGGGACAAGCGUCCUGACUGACCUUACAGCAGGUGGGAAGAGAAGUGAUGUCCUUCAGGUGCAAUGAAACAAGAGUCAAGGAGAACGGUGUAUCUAUUCUAGCAGGAGAGUCCUAAAGAAGGUGCCUUCCCAAAGUGGUGUUUGCAGUGUUUCAUGAAUGCCUUGAUCCACUGGGAGACACAAGUUGGUUUAGGUGGUGAUGGGUGGUCACGUAAAGAAAAAAAGAGGCUGAGUUAAGUGCUGGAAUGCAAAGUUAAUAUGAACCACGGCCCAAGAGAAAACUCAAUAUGAAUGAGAACUGGGAUGCGCAAUGUAAGAAGUGGGAGUUUGAGUCAUUUUAUUCUGUAGAGUCUUGUAAUACAGCACAGGCAGUCAGGGGUCAUGAAUGAGUGGAAGCACAGCACUGCCUGACAUGGGGAUUUGGGAGGGGUCCUGGAGCUGGGGACGGGUAGGAACACAUUUACCAAACAGUGAUGCCUCCCGACUUCCUGAAGACCAGGCUCAGAGCAAGACAGAGAAUCCGAGUGGUUUUAUUAACCUCCUCGACUCGGCUGGGUGAGUUGCCUGUGCAUAACCUUUGCUUUUUGUUUACGGACUGCAGAGCUGCUUGUGGGCUGCUGGUAAAAUAAAUGCCUUUGGAUUCUGGAUUGACCCUGUCACUGCUGCUCAGGGGCAAUCCAACAUGGAGAUCUUAGCAGGAGCACAGCUGCGUGAGCACUGGAGAGCAGCAAACAAAACUUUGCUCCUGUGGAUGAAUUGACAGCAGGAGGAGGUUACACUUGGCUCUCCCGCAAAGAAAGCAAGACAAAUUGCAGAAAUCUUGGUGCCUCCUCCAACAGAAAUGCUGGCCUCUGCACGGCCAAACCUGCAUUGCACGAGGAACAUCGUCCCACCUACCCAUGGAUCUGCCUGGGAGUAAAAGGUGUACAUUGCAAGGCCAUCCACAGUAAGUGCCAUGGGACGAGCUGCAUUAUUUUCACCCAAAUAUUUCUUCUGGUAGAGCAAUUUGAUGAAGAAAGUAAUCCAAGCCUCCCCCUGCCAGUUUUGCAGCACACCAAGGAGUGGCCAAAGCCAAGGUUCAAAGCUGUGCUCAUGGAGGAAAAAAAGAUACAAGCAAGCAGUGACUGCCUUCAUUGUAUGGUUUAGUUUUGACUAAACUCAAGUCACUUUUAAAUUCUCAGACUUCAGGGGGCUUCUCUCUCACUUCUG